UGGGGAAUUUUGGACAAUGGGGGCAACCCUGAUCCAGCCAUGCCGCGUGCGGGAAGAAGGCCUUCGGGUUGUAAACCGCUUUUGUUCGGGAAGAAAUCCUCUGGGCUAAUACCCCGGGGGGAUGACGGUACCGGAAGAAUAAGCACCGGCUAACUACGUGCCAGCAGCCGCGGUAAUACGUAGGGUGCGAGCGUUAAUCGGAAUUACUGGGCGUAAAGCGUGCGCAGGCGGUUGUGCAAGACAGAUGUGAAAUCCCCGGGCUUAACCUGGGAACUGCAUUUGUGACUGCACGGCUAGAGUGCGGCAGAGGGGAGUGGAAUUCCGCGUGUAGCAGUGAAAUGCGUAGAUAUGCGGAGGAACACCGAUGGCGAAGGCAGCUCCCUGGGCCUGCACUGACGCUCAUGCACGAAAGCGUGGGGAGCAAACA
Molecule: ribosomal RNA, 427 nt
Filed under: Brucella melitensis
Lineage: Bacteria; Pseudomonadati; Pseudomonadota; Alphaproteobacteria; Hyphomicrobiales; Brucellaceae
Also listed under: 2 other names
Description: partial 16S ribosomal RNA
Rfam family: Bacterial small subunit ribosomal RNA
Source: RNAcentral